Molecule: non-coding RNA, 144 nt
Organism: Nicotiana tabacum (common tobacco)
Lineage: Eukaryota; Viridiplantae; Streptophyta; Magnoliopsida; Solanales; Solanaceae
Source: RefSeq, a predicted model, not a curated record
UUGGAGAGAAUUUCAAGGGGGAUUUCAUCAAGCAUCAAAGAUUCGACGCGCGAAGAGGUCGAUUCAAGAGGAAAGGGCAUUGCGGACUAGUCUACGGCCGGUUAAAGAUCCAGGGUAGUCUCAGGCUCAGUAGAUCCAGUUGAU